CUUUAAGGGUCCUGAAGGAACGUUGAAGACGACGACGUUGAUAGGCCGGGUGUGUAAGCGCAGCGAUGCGUUGAGCUAACCGGUACUAAUGAAGCGUGAGGCUUAACCUUACAACGCCGAAGCUGUU
This 127-nucleotide ribosomal RNA is filed under the name Escherichia coli. RNAcentral describes it as "partial 23S ribosomal RNA". The stretch from base 1 to 110 matches the Rfam family "Bacterial large subunit ribosomal RNA", at positions 2811 to 2925 of the family's 2925-position model. The record is from RNAcentral. Lineage: Bacteria; Pseudomonadati; Pseudomonadota; Gammaproteobacteria; Enterobacterales; Enterobacteriaceae.